Molecule: long non-coding RNA, 1043 nt
Filed under: Bos mutus (wild yak)
Lineage: Eukaryota; Metazoa; Chordata; Mammalia; Artiodactyla; Bovidae
Description: lncRNA (ENSBMUG00000003339.1)
Source: RNAcentral
CAGGGGACCCUGAAAAGUCCUGGGGCUGAGAGGAUGUCAGGGAACCCAAGGAGAGGUGAAUAUGGGCUUCGGUUGAUAAUAACAUACCAAGAUUAGUUCAUUAAUUGUGACAGCUUCCCUGGUGGCUCAGAUUGUAAAGAAUCUGCCUGCCAGUGCAGGAGACAUGAGUUUGAUCUGAUCCCUGUGUUUCAGGAAGGGGGACCCCUUCCAGGGCCCGAAACUGGACUCUUGUCUAACAUGUGGAAAUGAAUUGUCUGAGGAGACACAUGUGCUGACAAAGCAAGAGAUUUUAUUGGGAAAGGCACCCGAAUGGAGAGCAGUAGGGUAAGGGAACCCAGAACAGCUCUGACAUGUGGCUUGCAGUCUCGGGUUUUAUGGUGAUGGGAUUAUUUUCCGGGUUGUCUUUAGCCAAUCAUUCUGAGUCAGAGCCCUUCCUGGUGGUGCACGCCUUCUUCAACUAAGAUGGAUGCCAGAUAGAAGGAUUCUGGGAGGUGGUCGGACAUGUGGUGUCUCGUUUUGACCUUUCCCAAACUCUUCUGGUUGGUGGAGACUUAUUAGUUCCAUGUUCCUUACCAGGACCUCCUGUUGUAAAACAACUAAGAUGGAAAUGGUUACUAUGGUGCCUGGCCAGGCUGGGCAGUUUCAAUCAGUGUGCUUCCCCUAACACCUGGAUUGGGAAGAUCCCCUGGAGGAGAAAAUGGUAACCCACUCCAGUAUUCUUGCCUGGGAAAUUCCAUGGAUGGAGGAACCUGGUGGGCUACAGUCCAUGGGGUCAUAAAGAGUCAGACACGACAGAGCACCAGGCACAUCAUAAUAAGAAUCUCGUCAACUGAAGGGGAAGGAACACUUGGAGACUUGGAGGCCUGGAACUCACAGUGCUCAGAAGACAGGAAAUUCUGCCGCAUCACCAGAAGAGAAAAGCUAUUGCCUUGUGAUGGGCAAACUCACCUUCUGGGCUGCCUGACCAGUGGCCUUUCCUGCUCAGAACACCCUUGGAUGAGCACGGAAGGUGCUGCCAGAGACCGUUGCUUCCUGGGAAAAAU